GACGAACCGUGCGAACGUUGUUCGGAAUCACUGGGCUUAAAGGGCGCGUAGGCGGUCCGACAAGUCAGGGGUGAAAUCCUGCAGCUUAACUGCAGAAGUGCCUUUGAUACUGUCGGUCUGGAGGGAGAUAGGGGUGUGCGGAACUUCCAGUGGAGCGGUGAAAUGCGUUGAUAUUGGAAGGAACGCCGGAGGCGAAAGCGGCGCACUGGAUCUCUUCUGACGCUGAGGCGCGAAAGCUAGGGGAGCAAACGGG
RNAcentral lists this ribosomal RNA (253 nucleotides) under uncultured bacterium. Its description in RNAcentral is "partial 16S ribosomal RNA". It matches the Rfam family "Bacterial small subunit ribosomal RNA", at positions 524 to 776 of the family's 1533-position model. The record is from RNAcentral.